GGGUCAGUAGGUUGGUCGUGCCACCGGUACGUACUGGUCUCACUGAUUCCUCCUUCCUGAAGAACCGUAAUGCCAUUAAUUUGGUGUUGCGGGGAAACAGGACUGUUACUUUGAAAAAAUUAGAGUGUUUAAAGCAAGCUAACGCUUGAAUACAUUAGCAUGGAAUAAUGAAAUAGGACGAUCGAUCCGAUCUUGUUGGUUUCUAGGAUUGACGUA
RNAcentral lists this ribosomal RNA (216 nucleotides) under Glomeromycotina sp. RNAcentral describes it as "partial small subunit ribosomal RNA". The stretch from base 40 to 216 matches the Rfam family "Eukaryotic small subunit ribosomal RNA", at positions 686 to 864 of the family's 1831-position model. The record is from RNAcentral. Lineage: Eukaryota; Fungi; Glomeromycota.